UGGGGAAUCUUGCGCAAUGGGCGGAAGCCUGACGCAGCAACGCCGCGUGCGGGAGGAAGGCCUUCGGGUUGUAAACCGCUUUCAGGAGGGACGAAGCUACCUGGGUUAAUAGCCCGUGGGGUGACGGUACCUCCAGAAGAAGCCCCGGCUAACUACGUG
This 159-nucleotide ribosomal RNA is filed under the name uncultured bacterium. RNAcentral's name for it is "partial 16S ribosomal RNA". It matches the Rfam family "Bacterial small subunit ribosomal RNA", at positions 355 to 507 of the family's 1533-position model. The record is from RNAcentral.